UGUGAAGCAAUGAUCAGAUUUGAAGCCAAAAUCGUCCAAACGAUUUCAAUGAAGAACCGAUUCUACUGGAAUCGUAAUUUUUGAAACGAUUCAAUGUAGGAAUCAGUUCUCGAUGCCCAGCCCUAGUGAUAGUUAGGGUAAG
Etheostoma cragini (Arkansas darter) is the source of this 142-nucleotide long non-coding RNA. RefSeq lists it as uncharacterized. NCBI's taxonomy places the organism in Eukaryota, Metazoa, Chordata, Actinopteri, Perciformes, Percidae. The transcript has 3 exons. The record is from RefSeq and is a predicted model, not a curated record.